Long non-coding RNA from Peromyscus eremicus (cactus mouse), 604 nucleotides. RefSeq lists it as uncharacterized. Lineage: Eukaryota; Metazoa; Chordata; Mammalia; Rodentia; Cricetidae. The record is from RefSeq and is a predicted model, not a curated record. The transcript has 2 exons.
UUCCAUCGCACCACCCUCCCUGGCAGUCUUUCUCUGGCUUCUGUCCACUCCACCCCUCCCAGUUCUCAGGCUCCUUGGUGUCUCAUUAAUCCUCCACCAAUGUCCUCAGACCCGGAUCCAGCAUCUGGAUCUAGAGCGGCCCGGGUGCACUGCUAGGAAAGGGCUGCUGUCCCUCCCCCCACCCAGCAAGAAAAGACUGAAGAGUGGACCUCAACAUGGCUGAUCAUUUCCUAAAGACGGUUUGAGGAGGAGACAGAAACUUAUAGGUUUGAAAGUAAAAAUGCCCAGCAGAACGGGAUAUUUCCAAGACUACAUUAAGGGCAGUGGGGAUCUCCCCACACCCAUUCACACCAUGCCAGAUACCAGAGAAAAUGGCAACGGUAAACAUGCAAAGACACAGCAGGAGCAAGAAAUAUCCAGGGGCUCUCCAGGCUUCGCCUAUCCAAGAAUCACACAUCAAAGCUUUGCUUCCUAGUGGGCUGGCUUCCUGAACCUCAACUGCCACCUGCUGGUCCUCUGACAGGACCACCUGCAGUCAAUCUUCUGAUCAGUGCCCAGAGACAGACAGGACCACUGCCCUUUCUAAUCUAAGUAAUUCCACAUC